AGCGAACGCUGGCGGCAGGCCUAACACAUGCAAGUCGAACGAACCUUUCGGGGUUAGUGGCGGACGGGUGUGUAACACGUGGGAACGUUCCUUUAGGUUCGGAAUAACUCAGGGAAACGUGUGCUAAUACCGAAUGUGCCCUUCGGGGGAAAGAUUUAUCGCCUUUAGAGCGGCCCGCGUCUGAUUAGCUAGUUGGUUGAGGUAAUGGCUCACCAAGGCGACGAUCAGUAGCUGGUCUGAGAGGAAGAUCAGCCACAUUGGGACUGAGACACGGCCCAAACUCCUACGGGAGGCAGCAGUGGGGAAUCUUGCGCAAUGGGCGAAAGCCUGACGCAGCCAUGCCGCGUGAAUGAUGAAGGUCUUAGGAUUGUAAAAUUCUUUCACCGGGGACGAUAAUGACGGUACCCGGAGAAGAAGCCCCGGCUAACUUCGUG
Molecule: ribosomal RNA, 434 nt
Filed under: uncultured bacterium
Lineage: Bacteria
Description: partial 16S ribosomal RNA
Rfam family: Bacterial small subunit ribosomal RNA
Source: RNAcentral